GAUCCUGUCAUGGCUGGUGUGGUUGUGUCCACACGUGACCUGAACAUCCUUCCCACUCAGUACCAAAUACAGUCAAUUCUGUGGCUUGAUGGUGCGUGGACAUAACAUUCAGAUAUCGCCCAUGAUGAGGAAACAGAAGCUGGGAUAUGUGAGUAAACAUUUCCAAGGUCCUGCAGCUAAUCAAUGGUGAGCUUGCGAAGAAACCCAUAGCUUUCAAACUUUGAAACUGAUGCUCCUUAGAUUAACCAGGCUACCUCACUUACUAACUAAGUGAAAUCAUCAUGGAGGGCUCCUUGUCCACCUCUUUGCAAUGACCCUAAGGAUCUGAGACAUACCUACCUCUCGACAAAGACAAUAACAUCAUAUCUAGGAGGGGCAGUAGAUUGAUUCUUGAAUUAGGCUGCUUGAGCUAGUACUCUCGCUCUGCUGUUCACAUGCUAUGUGGCUUGGGGGCAAAUUACUGAAACUCUUUGUACUUCAGUUCCCUAAUCUGUGAAAAGAAAAAAAAAGUGUGGAUAAUACAUAUACCCAACUCAUAGGUUUUGUGAGAAUUAAAUGAAAUGGCAAGUGGUUUGCCUAAGGCCUGGAAAAAAUAAUUAUUCAAUAUAUCUAUACAUUUUCUCAUUUUAUUUGGAGCUUGCAUUAUGUUUAGUUAUUAAUUUCUUUAGCAGAAAGCCACCUAGAAAAAAGCAUGCAGGUUUCUUACGAGAGGAAAAAAUAAACGCUUGUGAGCACAAUUAGAUAUACGAAGGAAGACGUGGGUAACCCGGUCUGGGAGAGCAUUGGUAAGGUGGCUGAUCAUGCUUUCUUGUUUUUGUUUUUUCUCAAACAAAUUAGAGAUUCCAAAUUAAGGAGCAAGACUAGAACAAAGGUGAAAAUUGUGAAAAAUUUCUGUGAAGCCCAAUGCUCUAUAGUAACCAGUUAGCAAAAAGCUAUUCAGGAGAAAGGAACUAGACUAACGCAAUGUCUUUUUGCUAUAGCUAAUUCAAUCACUGUCAUUACCACCAGCAUAUUUUCAGAAAAGAGAAUAUUUAAAAGACUCAAUUCUGUUAAAAGUUGGGUACCAUAUAGUCUCAAAAGUGAGCUAUGAAAUCCUGUCCCAAGCCAGAAAAAACAAGUUCACCAUCUUGCGAGAGUAUUCUAAAAAAAAACUUUUUAAAACCUGUUUCUUACUAAUUAUUUGAUUUACGUCGAACAUUUUGAAUUUUCCAUUAUGUGAAGGGUCUAAAGUCUUUUGCCAAGGGCAAUGAAAAUGGUGGGAAGGGAAAAAAAAAACACAAAACACCCUUUGUAUAAAUUUCACCAAUUUCUGCACAAUUAGAAUACAUAUUAGUUUUCCUUGCAUCAAUAGAAAACAUGCUGAUGGAGGGAAUCCAUUCUGGAUAUGUCAAAAUAGGACCUUUCCCAAAUAACUCAGACCAUUUAAAAUUGCUCCUUAAAAUAGAAGCUUAUUUUUGCCCUUAAGAUUUUGCUGUUCAGGGGUGGAGCUCUUGACCAUGCUCCCUCUGCAACGCUGCAUUUCAGGGACAUUUUAUUUAUCAUUUUACCUUCAGUGGUGAUAGCAUCCCUUGCUAUUUGGGAGGUGGGGUGGGAUUAAUGAAAAUAAAGGUUAGCUCUUCCUGAUCUCUGUGGGGGCCAUGUUGUCUCAGUUUUGAUCAUUUCCCCCAAAUUAAGAUUUCUGCAUAACCCCCCCGUGUCUGUGUUUGGCUGGCAGUUUUAUGGCUGACCAAAUUGUGCACUGGCCGCUGUUCUGGUUGGCUGAAUGUUUAUACAGGCUGUUAAUCAGACUGGGGAGGGGGCUGUGGAUAUGGGGACUGUCUGUGAGCCGGAGCGGUCCUGUUUGCUGUCGUGUGCAAGGGCCUGCACUUUGUUACUACAAAUUACAUAAUGA
Homo sapiens (human) is the source of this 1891-nucleotide long non-coding RNA. Ensembl annotates it as long intergenic non-protein coding RNA 3007. Lineage: Eukaryota; Metazoa; Chordata; Mammalia; Primates; Hominidae. The record is from Ensembl.